GGAUUGAUGAUGCUAUCCCUCAAAUGCAUUCCUUGGAAAAGCUGAACAAAAUGAGUGAGAACUCACUACCAUCGUUCUCAUUGAAUCUGAGGUGU
Molecule: small nucleolar RNA, 95 nt
Organism: Talpa occidentalis (Iberian mole)
Lineage: Eukaryota; Metazoa; Chordata; Mammalia; Eulipotyphla; Talpidae
Product: small nucleolar RNA SNORD116
Exons: 1
Source: RefSeq, a predicted model, not a curated record